This 253-nucleotide ribosomal RNA is filed under the name uncultured bacterium. RNAcentral's name for it is "partial 16S ribosomal RNA". It matches the Rfam family "Bacterial small subunit ribosomal RNA", at positions 524 to 776 of the family's 1533-position model. The record is from RNAcentral.
UUCAGAGGCCCCGAGCGUUAAUCGGAGUUACUGGGCUUAAAGGGUGCGUAGGCCGGCCCGCAAGUGCUUUGUGAAAUCCCACGGCUCAACCGUGGAAUAGCUUGGCAUACUGCGGGCCUUGAGGUCGGUAGAGGUCGCUGGAACUGUAGGUGUAGCGGUGAAAUGCGUAGAUAUCUACAGGAACGCCAAAGGUGAAGACAGGCGACUGGGCCGAUUCUGACGCUGAGGCACGAAAGCGUGGGGAGCAAACGGG